This 72-nucleotide transfer RNA is filed under the name Salmo salar (Atlantic salmon). It matches the Rfam family "tRNA". Rfam says of the family: Transfer RNA (tRNA) molecules are approximately 80 nucleotides in length. The record is from Rfam by way of RNAcentral. Lineage: Eukaryota; Metazoa; Chordata; Actinopteri; Salmoniformes; Salmonidae.
UCCCGUGUGGCUCAGUUGGUAGAGCAUGGCUCUUACAACUCCAAGGUUGUGGGUUCAAUUCCCACAAGGGAC